Hippopotamus amphibius kiboko is the source of this 730-nucleotide long non-coding RNA. RefSeq lists it as uncharacterized. The record is from RefSeq and is a predicted model, not a curated record. NCBI's taxonomy places the organism in Eukaryota, Metazoa, Chordata, Mammalia, Artiodactyla, Hippopotamidae. The transcript is spliced from 3 exons.
UCCUGUAGGUGACUGGACUUGGAGAUAGGGAAGUCCUGAAGGGUAGUGGCUGCCUUGUAAGAGAGUGUCCCCGUCACUAUGGGUAUGCAAACAGCUUCAGAACAUUGGCCUGGGAUAUUGUGGACAGAUUUCAUCCAUCAGGUAGAAGGUUGGAGUCAACAACAGUGAAAGUGCCUCCUGACCGAGGGACCUGCAUCCUCUUCCUCUGCUCCCCACCACCCUAGACCAAAUUUCUACCUCCAUCUGCAACUAAGAGUUACUUCCUCCACGCCAAGACCUCCAGAAGCCUCCCAGAGUGGUGGGAGAAUGGGACAACGUGUAUUCAGCGGCUGUCUGGCGGGCCAUACCUGCCGGGUGGAGGGAGAAGAGUGCCCCUCCCAAGUGGGCAGCGCCUGCUCUGCUCCGGCUGGGGGCCGUGAAACGCUUUGAUGGAGGGGCGAGAAGGCAAAGGGAUGCGCGAACCGGCCACGUGGAGGUCCCGAGCGGCAGGCAGGGCGGGAGCCGCGAGCGGGCCGUGCGCUCGCCCCUCCCGCUCGGGGGAGCCUCCGAGAGUCGGGUCGUCGCUGACCGCAGGCUGCAAGAGCGGUUGAUCUGAAAGAUGUCCCCAAGCGCUGGUCCUGAAGUUUCCACCGUCUGUGAACCAACGAGGGGACAAAAGACUUACAUACUGAGCACCUACCAUACGGAAGGCUCUGUUAGGUCUUGCUUAGAAUGUCAUUAAAAAGUUUAC